UUUUCCUUCUUUCAUAAUUCUAUAUUUUAUUUUACUUCAUCUAUAAUAAUAAUAAUAAUAAAGCUCUGCUCUGUUUUAAGUAUUAUAACUCCCGAUCACCGCUACCCUUUCCGAUUGAUCUGAGUCCCAUAACGCAUGUUAAGGCUCUGCCCGACUAAGUUCGUUUGGAUUCUAUCUCGGGACUUCGGGACAAGGUUGAAUUAGGGGUACUAUACUUAACACGAGUGCAUUAUAUUUUUUAUAGCCCAAAAGGUAUCCCCAAAAUUUAUACCAGGAGUCCUUCUAGUUGAACCCUAAAGUUACACAGUGGGUCCAUUCCUUUUUCUCACCAUUUUAUUCUCUUUUUGUGAAUUAUCCCAAAACUAUUAUUAUUUAUUAUUUCUAUUUUGUAAACAACUUUCAUCAAAAGUCAUGCCUAUUAUUUUAUUUACCCGAUAGGAAACCAUAGUUGAGACACCCAAGUAAUCCUGCACAACUCCUAAAAUAUUUUCAUAACAAUCAGAAUCGGGAUCAGGGCCCCUAAAACUCAGAGGAGGCAAUCCCCAUUCGAUAUUAUCUUCAAAGUCUGUUGUCAAAAUUUAAUUUUAAUAUUUCAUCGACUCAGCAAGCCUACACCCACACGUGGCCACCCUAUAGUGAAAAUGUGUCCCUUACGGACCGUAAGGGAUUAGGCUUACGGUCCGUAAGCCUGUCAAAAUUGGUGUAUAAAUAGCAGGCAUCGAGACUUGAUUUCUUGCAUUUGUACGACGAUCAAAUUCAAUUGGUACGUCGAGAUAUAGCCGAAACAGUCUCCAAAUCACUAAUUAGUAGAGGGGGUGCUGCUACGAUACAGGGUAUUAACUCGAUCGCUAUUACGAUUCAUUUUCCGACCGAUCAAUAUAUCCAAUGGAUGUUUAAGUGCCACCCACAUUAGGGUUAUACUUUGUCGUUCGUCGUUAAAUCGAUGGAUGUUUAAGUAUCGCACUUUGUCGUUCGUUGUGAGAAUUUGAUCUCGUGAGUUAUCGUAAUUGUUGUAUUAAGUUACCUACCUAGUUCGUAUGCACUAGGUUACAAGGCUAAAUCAAUAGGCUAAGCUCUGCCUGUGUAAAUCUGCAAUAUAUCAAGGCUUAUCUGUAGACCAAACUUUGGCCGUAUGAAUCUGCAUGAUUAUAAAUGGUAUUCUAACAGCUGAUGGAUCUUAAGUACUGCUCACUAUAACAACUGAUGAACCAAACACUGAUGAGAUUCUAAAGACUGCUGAAGACAAACAUUGUUGCUCUAUCUACUGCUGUUUCAUAAGUACAGCUGAAGACACAAGCACUGCCCAGUCAAAGACUGAUCACCUUUGAAGAAAGCACUAAAGCUCAACAUCAGUGCUCAGGCUACAACAGUGGAACAGUUGUUAUCUCUUGUUUUGUAUUGUACUUAUAAUCAGAUGUUACACAUCAGUAGUUUGUUUAAUACAGUGUUUAUAGAUUGUUAGUUUAUUAGAUGUCACUAUCAUGGUAACGUCAGCUGAGAUGCUUCAGUGGUUUGGUUUGCCUAUAAAUGGAGCAGUACCCUGUACUGUUACAUUUGAUUAACUGAGUGGUUUCUUCUCCUCCAGUCUAAUCCUUUCAUCUUGUGCAACCAACCUUGGGGUAUUAGGCUGAGGGGGAGCUUAGUUAUGUAAGCAUGCUUGUAAUCUUUUGAUUUUCAUUGUAAUCAUUCGACUCAAAGUAAAGCAAGUGUU
Molecule: long non-coding RNA, 1711 nt
Filed under: Helianthus annuus (common sunflower)
Lineage: Eukaryota; Viridiplantae; Streptophyta; Magnoliopsida; Asterales; Asteraceae
Description: hypothetical non coding rna
Source: RNAcentral